CCUACGGGAGGCAGCAGUGGGGGAUAUUGCACAAUGGGGGAAACCCUGAUGCAGCGACGCCGCGUGGGUGAAGAAGUAUUUCGGUAUGUAAAGCCCUAUCAGCAGGGAAGAAGAAAUGACGGUACCUGAGUAAGAAGCACCGGCUAAAUACGUGCCAGCAGCCGCGGUAAUAAGUAUGGGGCAAGCGUUAUCCGGAUUUACUGGGUGGAAAGGGAGCGCAGGCGGCACGGCAAGCCUGAUGUGAAAGCCCGCGGCCCAACCGCGGGACUGCAUUGGGAACUACCGGGCUGGAGUGCCGGAGAGGUAGGCGGAAUUCCUAGUGUAGCGGUGAAAUGCGUAGAUAUUAGGAGGAACACCAGUGGCGAAGGCGGCCUACUGGACGGUGACUGACGCUGAGGCUCGAAAGCGUGGGGAGCAAACAGGAUUAGAUACCCCUGUAGUC
RNAcentral lists this ribosomal RNA (442 nucleotides) under uncultured bacterium. Its description in RNAcentral is "partial 16S ribosomal RNA". It matches the Rfam family "Bacterial small subunit ribosomal RNA", at positions 338 to 795 of the family's 1533-position model. The record is from RNAcentral.